RNAcentral lists this unclassified non-coding RNA (396 nucleotides) under soil metagenome. Its description in RNAcentral is "partial contains 5.8S ribosomal RNA, internal transcribed spacer 2, and large subunit ribosomal RNA". The stretch from base 1 to 122 matches the Rfam family "5.8S ribosomal RNA", at positions 35 to 154 of the family's 154-position model. The record is from RNAcentral.
GAUGAAGAACGCAGCGAAAUGCGAUACUUGGUGUGAAUUGCAGAAUCCCGUGAACCAUCGAGUCUUUGAACGCAAGUUGCGCCCGAAGCCAUUAGGCCGAGGGCACGCCUGCCUGGGUGUCACACACCGUUACCCUCGCGCCAACGUCCAUCGUUGGCCGCGGCGCGGGGCGUGCGCUGACCUCCCGCGAGCGGGGUCUCGUGGUUGGUUGAAAAUCGAGUUCGCGGUCGAGGGUGCCGUGAUGAAAUGGUGGAUGGGCGACGCCCGAGGCCAAUCACGCGCGACUCUGUCCGGCUCGNNNUCCUGGACCCCUUCGGCGUCUCCGGACGCUCUUUGGCGAGACCUCAGGUCAGGCGGGGCUACCCGCUGAAUUUAAGCAUAUCAAUAAGCGGAGGA